RNAcentral lists this ribosomal RNA (537 nucleotides) under Goffeauzyma sp. RNAcentral describes it as "LSU rRNA". It matches the Rfam family "Eukaryotic large subunit ribosomal RNA", at positions 85 to 658 of the family's 3401-position model. The record is from RNAcentral. Lineage: Eukaryota; Fungi; Basidiomycota; Tremellomycetes; Filobasidiales; Filobasidiaceae.
UACGGCGAGUGAAGCGGGUAGAGCUCAAAUUUGUAAUCUGGCAGUUUCACUGUCCGAGUUGUAAUCUAUAGAAGUGUUUUCCGUGCUGGCUCAUGUACAAGUCCCUUGGAAUAGGGCAUCAUAGAGGGUGACAAUCCCGUACUUGACAUGAACUCCCAGUGCUCUGUGAUACACUUUCAAAGAGUCGAGUUGUUUGGGAAUGCAGCUCAAAAUGGGUGGUAAAUUCCAUCUAAAGCUAAAUAUUGGUGGGAGACCGAUAGCGAACAAGUACCGUGAGGGAAAGAUGAAAAGCACUUUGGAAAGAGAGUUAAACAGUAUGUGAAAUUGUUAAAAGGGAAACGCUUGAAGUCAGUCAUGCUUUUGAGAACUUGUUCUCUUUAGUGGGGUCAACAUCAGUUUUGAUCGCUGGAAAAGGGCUGGAGGAAUGUAGUACCCUCGGGUAAACUUAUAGCCUCCUGUCGCAUACAGUGGUUGGGACUGAGGACUGCGGCUUUGCCUAGGAUGUUGACAUAAUGGCUUUAAACGACCCGUCUUGAA